Molecule: ribosomal RNA, 828 nt
Filed under: uncultured bacterium
Lineage: Bacteria
Description: bacterial SSU rRNA
Rfam family: Bacterial small subunit ribosomal RNA
Source: RNAcentral
AGAGUUUGAUCCUGGCUCAGGAUGAACGCUAGCGGCGCGCUUAACACAUGCAAGUCGUGCGAUCGGCUUAUUCCAAUUUCCUUCGGGAAAGCGGAAUAAGUACGGAGCGGCGGACGGGUGAGUAACGCGUAGCUUACCUCCCGUCGGGCGGAGGAUAACACCGGGAAACUGGUGCUAACACUCCACGAUAUCAAAGAACCUCAGGUUCUUUGAUCAAAGGACCUUCGGGUCCACCCGACGAUGGGGCUGCGUCCUAUUAGCUAGAUGGUGAGGUAAAGGCUCACCAUGGCCAAGAUAGGUAGGGGGCCUGAGAGGGCGAUCCCCCUCACUGGGACUGAGACACGGCCCAGACUCCUACGGGAGGCUGCAGUGGGGAAUCUUGCGCAAUGGUCGCAAGGCUGACGCAGCGACGCCGCGUGGAGGAUGAAGGCCUUCGGGUUGUAACUCCUUUUCUGGGAGACGAAUAAGGUCAGCAGGCAAUGGUUGACCGAUGACGGUACCCCAGGAACAAGCGCCGGCUAACUUCGUGCCAGCAGCCGCGGUAAGACGAAGGGCGCAAGCGUUAUCCGGAAUUACUGGGCGUAAAGGGCGUCUAGGCGGCCCAUCAAGUCGACGUUGAAAGCCCUUGGCUCAACUGAGGGAUGUACGUCGAAACUGAUAGGCUCGAGGAACGUAGAGGAAGGCGGAACUCUCGGAGUAGCGGUGAAAUGCGUANAGACCGAGAGGUACCCCGAUGGUGAAGACAGCCUUCUGGGCGUUUCCUGACGCUGAAGCGCUAAGGCCAGGGGAGCGAAGGGNAUUANAUACCCCCGUANUCCUGGCUUCAAC